This 473-nucleotide small RNA is filed under the name Pan troglodytes (chimpanzee). Its description in RNAcentral is "processed transcript". Lineage: Eukaryota; Metazoa; Chordata; Mammalia; Primates; Hominidae. The record is from RNAcentral.
CAAGACCCUGCCUCCAAAAAGAAAAGAAAAGAAAAUAAAUUCUGAAUUUAUUCUUGGACAGCUUUUAGCAGCUACAUGCAAAGAACUUCCAGGCCCUAAAGAAAGUAGACGGACUGCCAAAGACCUUUGGGAAGUUGUUGUUCAAAUCUGUAGUGUGUCCAGUCAGCACAAACGAGGAAAUGAUGGCAGAGUUAGUUUAAUAAAACAGAGGGAAUCUACGUUAGGUAUCAUGUAUCGGAGUGAACUGCUUUCUUUUAUCAAAAAAUUACGAGAACCACUCGUUUUGACUAUUAUUUUAUCACUCUUUGUGAAACUUCACAAUGUUCGGGUAAGUAUUUCAUAAUUUCAUUUAGAAAAAUUUAAAAGAAAUUUCUUUGUAAAUCACACCUUUUUUUUUCUUUUUAAAGGAGGACAUUGUGAAUGAUAUUACAGCUGAACACAUUUCUAUUUGGCCAUCUUCCAUUCCCAACCUC